UACGAAGGGGGCUAGCGUUGCUCGGAAUGACUGGGCGUAAAGGGCGCGUAGGCGGUGUACACAGUCAGGCGUGAAAUUCCCGGGCUCAACCUGGGGGCUGCACUUGAUACGUAUGGACUGGAGUGGGGAAGAGGGUCGUGGAAUUCCCAGUGUAGAGGUGAAAUUCGUAGAUAUUGGGAAGAACACCGGUGGCGAAGGCGGCGACCUGGUCCGGUACUGACGCUGAGGUGCGAAAGCGUGGGGAGCAAACAGG
This 253-nucleotide ribosomal RNA is filed under the name uncultured bacterium. RNAcentral's name for it is "partial 16S ribosomal RNA". It matches the Rfam family "Bacterial small subunit ribosomal RNA", at positions 524 to 776 of the family's 1533-position model. The record is from RNAcentral.